CCUUCCUGCUUUAUCGGCGUCACACGGUUCGAACCAGAACCCUUUGAAUAGCGGACGCCAGCAACCAAUGCCAUUGAAUCACGAGCACUUUCAAAACGGUGGUCACGUGUCGUCGAAC
This 118-nucleotide non-coding RNA is filed under the name Platyophrya macrostoma. The record is from RNAcentral. Lineage: Eukaryota; Ciliophora; Colpodea; Cyrtolophosidida; Platyophryidae.